AAUAAAUGUAUUAAUAUAUAGAAGAAAUUAAAUGAUAAAUCAUUAAAUUUAAAAGAUUUGGCAGUAUUUAAUAUUUAGAGGAACCUGUAUAGUAAUUGAUGAUCCACGAUAAGAUAUACUUAAUUUUAAAUUUAUGUAUUGCUGUUUUUAAUAUUUAAUUAAGUUAGAUAGUAAUAUAAUUUAUAAUAUUUUAUUAGAUAAAAUAAUUCAAGUCAAAAUAUAGUUUAAUUAAGAUUUAAUAUGGGUUACAAUUAAUUUAAUUAUAUUGGAUUAAAAAAUUUAAUUUUUUUAUGAAAUUGGAUUUAAAAGUAAAUUUAAUUAAUUUAUUAAAUUGAAUAAUAAAUUAAAUAUGU
Molecule: ribosomal RNA, 353 nt
Filed under: Vespa velutina
Lineage: Eukaryota; Metazoa; Arthropoda; Insecta; Hymenoptera; Vespidae
Also listed under: 1 other name
Description: partial 12S ribosomal RNA
Source: RNAcentral